This 218-nucleotide long non-coding RNA is filed under the name Mytilus galloprovincialis (Mediterranean mussel). Lineage: Eukaryota; Metazoa; Mollusca; Bivalvia; Mytilida; Mytilidae. The record is from RNAcentral.
UAUAUUAUAUAGAUAUAGGAAGAUGUGGUGUGAGUGCCAAUGAGACAACUCUCCAUCCAAAUAACAAUUUAAAAAAGUAAACCAUUAUAGGUCAAUGUACGGCCUUCAACACGGAGCCUUGGCUCACACCGAACAACAAACUAUAAAGGGCCCCAAAAUUACUAGUGUAAAACCAUUCAAACGGGAAAACCAACAGUCUUAUCUAUAAAAAAUAAAGA